This 344-nucleotide ribosomal RNA is filed under the name uncultured bacterium. Its description in RNAcentral is "partial 16S ribosomal RNA". It matches the Rfam family "Bacterial small subunit ribosomal RNA", at positions 338 to 699 of the family's 1533-position model. The record is from RNAcentral.
CCUACGGGUGGCAGCAGUAGGGAAUAUUGCUCAAUGGGGGAAACCCUGAAGCAGCAACGCCGCGUGGAGGAUGAAUGUUUUCGGAUUGUAAACUCCUUUUGUUAGAGAAGAUAAUGACGGUAUCUAACGAAUAAGCACCGGAUAACUCCGUGUCAGCAGCCGCGGUAAUUCGGCGGGUGCAAGCGUUACUCGGAAUCACUGGGCGUAAAGAGCGCGUAGGCGGGAUAGCAGGUCAGAUGUGAAAUCCUAGGGCUUAACCAUAGAACUGCAUUUGAAACUGUAAUUCUAGAGUAUGGGAGAGGUAGGUGGAAUACGUGGUGUAGGGGUAAAAUCCGUAGAGAUAA